RNAcentral lists this unclassified non-coding RNA (381 nucleotides) under uncultured bacterium. RNAcentral's name for it is "contains 16S-23S intergenic spacer region". The record is from RNAcentral.
UCCGGUUUGUCACCGGCGGUCUCCUUAGAGUUCCCACCAUUACGUGCUGGCAAUUAAUGACAAGGGUUGCGCUCGUUGCGGGACUUAACCCAACAUCUCACGACACGAGCUGACGACAGCCAUGCAGCACCUGUGUUACCGCUCCCUUUCGGGCACGCCCACCUCUCAGCGGGCUUCGGUACAUGUCAAGGGUAGGUAAGGUUUUUCGCGUUGCGUCGAAUUAAACCACAUGCUCCGCUGCUUGUGCGGGCCCCCGUCAAUUCCUUUGAGUUUCAGCCUUGCGGCCGUACUCCCCAGGCGGGGCACUUAAUGCGUUAGCGCCGGCACCCGGAGGGUCGCUCCCCCGGGCACCUAGUGCCCAUCGUUUACAGCGUGGACUAC